Molecule: unclassified non-coding RNA, 404 nt
Filed under: soil metagenome
Description: partial contains 5.8S ribosomal RNA, internal transcribed spacer 2, and large subunit ribosomal RNA
Rfam family: 5.8S ribosomal RNA (bases 1-121)
Source: RNAcentral
GAUGAAGAACGCAGCGAAAUGCGAUAAGUAAUGUGAAUUGCAGAAUUCAGUGAAUCAUCGAAUCUUUGAACGCACCUUGCGCCCUUUGGCUAUUCCGAAGGGCAUGCCUGUUUGAGUAUGAUGAACACCUCAACUCUCAUGGUUUGCCAUGAUGAGCUUGGACUUUGGGGGUCUUGCCGGCCUAUGGGUCGGCUCCUCUCAAAUUAAUCAGCUUGCCAGUGUUUGGUGGCAUCACAGGUGUGAUAACUAUCUACGCUUGUGGUUUUCCAUCAGGUAACCUUCAGUGAUGGAGGUUCGCUGGGGCUCAUAAAUGUCUCUCCUCAGUGAGGACAGCUUUUUUGAACGUUUGAUCUCAAAUCAGGUAGGACUACCCGCUGAACUUAAGCAUAUCAAUAAGCGGAGGA